CUGGCUCAGGACGAACGCUGGCGGCGUGCCUAAUACAUGCAAGUCGAACGGUCUUUCUAUGGAAGCUUGCUUCCACUGAGAAGAUAGUGGCGAACGGGUGAGUAACACGUGGGUAACCUGCCCAUAAGAGGGGGAUAAUAUCCGGAAACGGGUGCUAAUACCGCAUAGUUUUCUUGAUCGCAUGAUCGGGAAAGGAAAGACGGCCUUUGUGCUGUCGCUUAUGGAUGGACCCGCGGCGUAUUAGUUAGUUGGUGAGGUAACGGCUCACCAAGACGAUGAUACGUAGCCGACCUGAGAGGGUGAUCGGCCACAUUGGGACUGAGACACGGCCCAAACUCCUACGGGAGGCAGCAGUAGGGAAUCUUCCGCAAUGGACGAAAGUCUGACGGAGCAACGCCGCGUGAGUGAAGAAAGGUUUUCGGAUCGUAAAACUCUGUUGUCAGAGAGGAACAAGUUGGAGAGUAACUGCUCCAGCCUUGACGGUAUCUGACCAGAAAGCCACGGCUAACUACGUGCCAGCAGCGGC
Molecule: ribosomal RNA, 526 nt
Filed under: uncultured bacterium
Lineage: Bacteria
Description: bacterial SSU rRNA
Rfam family: Bacterial small subunit ribosomal RNA
Source: RNAcentral